GUGCUUGCUUUAGUAACACAUAUGCUAAAAUACUAUGCAACAUAGGAGAUUAGUAUGGCUCCUGCACAAGGAUGAAACACAAAGUCAUAAAGUGUCCCAUAUUUUG
Small nuclear RNA from Gorilla gorilla gorilla (western lowland gorilla), 106 nucleotides. The record is from Ensembl. Lineage: Eukaryota; Metazoa; Chordata; Mammalia; Primates; Hominidae.